Molecule: long non-coding RNA, 2341 nt
Organism: Diospyros lotus (date-plum)
Lineage: Eukaryota; Viridiplantae; Streptophyta; Magnoliopsida; Ericales; Ebenaceae
Exons: 3
Source: RefSeq, a predicted model, not a curated record
GUUGGAGCAGCCCUCUUCCAAUUGGGCUCACUACUAUAUAUACGGCCUUGGAAGCUUGUUGACUGUUGUCGGGUCGCGCUAAUGCUGCUGCUUCUGCAAUCUGGAUAGUCUCCUGAAAGCUUCUCCUCCAUUUUUGCUGCAAUGGAGGAACUUGACGAGUCCGGCCAGUGCUAGAUUUGCUUGUUCGCUUUUCAUGAGCUCUUCUGCAAUUUCUGCUGGGGUUGCCUCCACUGCUGUUAUGAGCUUCUCGAUUUCAGGGAACAUAAAGUGACUGGUAAUGCCAAGGUAGUUGGAAGCAAGGAUCUUGAACCCAUCAGGCGUGCAAUAGGACAUGUGGAUGUGCAUGUCCAUUCGGCCUGGUCUCAGCAAUGCAGGGUCUAAUCUGUCUUUGUGAUUUGUCGUGAAUAUGAAUAUCCUCUCAUCACCACAACUUGACCAGAGUCCAUCGACAAAAUUAAGAAGGCCCGAUAGUGUCACCUAUCAAUGAGAAUGAUCAUCAUCAGUAUGGUAAUUCCUCAACUUGGAUAAUUGUACAAGGAUUAAAGCUAUAUGAUUCAACUUAAUUUAGUGUAGUUAGUGAAAAGAGGAAUAGCAAAGAGAUAGAGGAAGAUAAUGAAAAAAAUAAGAACUUGGUGGAGACGCUUGGGUUUGAUAUUAAUUAUAUGAGCCUUACAAAAGAAAAGAUAAGGUCACGGAUAGAAAUGAAUGGAAGGCUAAAAUUCAUGUAGUUCCAUAGUGGGAUAAAGGCUUAGUAUGUUGCUAUUGUUGUUACUUGUUAUGGCGAAAUGAAGAAUGAUCCUGCAAAUUUACCUUCUUGUCACCUUGGUUGUAUCCUGCGUCUUGUCGGUUUUGAAAAUCGCUGCUGCAAUCAAUGUCCUCUAUCACAAGAAUUGAUCGAUUUGAAGUAGAGAGCAAAGCCCUUCUAAGGUCUUCAUCGUAAUGGAUACUUGUGAGCUCCAUGUCGUAGACAUGGAAUUUGAGGUAGUUGGCCAUGGCAGCAAUCAAGCUCGACUUGCCUGUGCCAGGAGGCCCAUACAACAAGUACCCGCGCUUCCAUGCCUUGCCAACUCUCCGGUAAAAUUCUCUUCUCCUCGUGAACCUGUCCAAGUCCUCAAUUAGUUCCUUCUUGAGUUUUGGAUCCAUAGCCAACGUCUCAAAAGUGGAUGGAUGGUCCAGAUUGACUGAACUCCAUAACCCUGACAAUGAGUAGAGCUUCACCACCUUGUUUCCUUCUUUUAUGCCAUUUGAUCGUUCCAAGACAUGAGGCAAGUAAGAACUCAGUACCUUGUCCUUGUAUUUCUUAUGGUAGCUAAGCUCAAUUGAUCUCUGCUCAACCUUUUCUGCAGUGAAGCCACCUUCAUAGUCAUUGCUUGUCCUUUGUGUCUCGGUACAUAUCAUUUGCCAAACGAGCUCAAUACCUUCAAAAGUAUCGAUAAUCUUCUCCCCCUUGUUGAAUGUGACACUGAGGCUGUUUUCUCCUGGUGCUUUGGAUACCUUAAGCCGUGCAACCGUUGGGCUGAUCUUCGUCCGCAGGUAGAUUUCAGAGGCCUCAAACAUUUCAUUGAGAGAGAGUCCAUUGUAUUCAUCAAUCACAACAGUCCCCUGGCACGAAAUGUUUCCCAUGAGGCCCUGAAAUUUGGAUAGGAUUCUCUCUUGGAGUGGUCGGGGUAUGAGUUGAUUGGUGACAUUCUGGAGUUCACUCAGCAUGGUCCGAACCAGCAUGGAUGCUGCUGUAAAAGUGGUGUAUGCUGAUAGAAGUGAUGAUGAUGAAGGCAUGUUUGUGAAGGAGAACAUGGCUCAAGGCAAGCGGUUUUGGUGUUUGGAUAUUGUAUUUAGGAUUGGGUUGCUUGGGUGUUCUUGCCCAUGUUUGACAUGUUGAAUUUAUAGAACAGAUCAAAGGGCUGCAGCUGUAGCACUGGCUUGCAGUGGGGAAGGAAGCUCUUUUGAGGCAUAGACCACAAGACUAAUGUAGACCGUGUGCCACUGUCACCAAAGAAACACAUCCAUGAUACUGUUCUUAUAUGGGCUAAGUUCGCUGAACUGCUGCAGUUGUACAGGUGUCUGAGAUGUGUGAAUGGAUUGAAUAAUUAAUAAUAAUAAUAAUAAAAACUCAAUUGUAACUCUGCAUUUUCAGUGUAUUGUAGAACAUUAUAUUGCAUUUAACUCUUUAAAUAAUUAAUUGUAUUUAAAUUAAAGUGAUAUUGAUAUUCAAUAAGGUUUUUAGCAUUUGGAAUCACAAGUUAAGUCUUUCACAUCCAAAAUAUAUCCCUUUGUUUAUCCCUUUUACAAGUGAGCUGCUUAAUUAUAUAUAGCGUAGGGGAACAGAUCAACUGUGGACCUG